CUACGGGUCGCACCAGUGAGGAAUUUUGCGCAAUGGGGGAAACCCUGACGCAGCAACGCCGCGUGGGUGAAGAAGGCCUUCGGGUCGUAAAGCCCUGUCAGGUGGGAAAAAGGGCCACCGCUGAAUAGGCGGUGGAUUUGAUGGUACCGCCAGAGGAAGCACCGGCUAACUCCGUGCCAGCAGCCGCGGUAAUACGGAGGGUGCAAGCGUUGUUCGGAAUUAUUGGGCGUAAAGAGCGUGUAGGCGGUUUGGCAAGUCAGAUGUGAAAUCCUUCCGCUCAGCGGGAGAAGUGCAUUUGAAACUGCCAUUCUAGAGUAUGGGAGAGGAGAGUGGAAUUCCCAGUGUAGAGGUGAAAUUCGUAGAUAUUGGGAGGAACACCCGUGGCGAAGGCGACUCUCUGGACCAAUACUGACGCUGAGACGCGAAAGCGUGGGGAGCAAACAGGAUUAGAUACCCCCGUAGUC
RNAcentral lists this ribosomal RNA (464 nucleotides) under uncultured bacterium. RNAcentral describes it as "partial 16S ribosomal RNA". It matches the Rfam family "Bacterial small subunit ribosomal RNA", at positions 339 to 795 of the family's 1533-position model. The record is from RNAcentral.